RNAcentral lists this ribosomal RNA (540 nucleotides) under uncultured bacterium. Its description in RNAcentral is "bacterial SSU rRNA". It matches the Rfam family "Bacterial small subunit ribosomal RNA", at positions 355 to 896 of the family's 1533-position model. The record is from RNAcentral.
UGGGGAAUAUUGGACAAUGGGCGCAAGCCUGAUCCAGCGACGCCGCGUGGGGGAUGAAGGUCUUCGGAUUGUAAACCCCUUUCGGGAGGGAAGAUGGAAUGGGGUAACCCAUUCGGACGGUACCUCCAGAAGCAGCCACGGCUAACUUCGUGCCAGCAGCCGCGGUAAUACGAAGGUGGCAAGCGUUAUUCGGAUUUACUGGGCGUACAGGGAGCGUAGGCGGUUUGGUAAGCCCUCUGUGAAAUCUUCAGGCUUAACCUGGAAAAGUCGGGGGGGACUGCUGGGCUAGAGGACGGGAGAGGAGCGCGGAAUUCCCGGUGUAGCGGUGAAAUGCGUAGAGAUCGGGAGGAAGGCCGGUGGCGAAGGCGGCGCUCUGGAACGUUUCUGACGCUGAGGCUCGAAAGCGUGGGGAGCAAACAGGAUUAGAUACCCUGGUAGUCCACGCCGUAAACUAUGAGUGCUAGUCGUCAGCGGGCAUGCCCGUUGGUGACGCAGCUAACGCAUUAAGCACUCCGCCUGGGGAGUACGGCCGCAAGGUUA